Non-coding RNA from Monodelphis domestica (gray short-tailed opossum), 3039 nucleotides. Lineage: Eukaryota; Metazoa; Chordata; Mammalia; Didelphimorphia; Didelphidae. The record is from RefSeq and is a predicted model, not a curated record.
UACCGUUUAGCUGGGGAGACGGAGAAAAACAAAACCCAAGGGUGACCUGCGAGGAACAGCAUCCUCCGAAAAUGGAGGAAAAAACCCAUCUCCCUUCGCUACCCUCCCAUCCAGUGCUUCCCACCAACACCCCCCCCCCCGUCCACCCCCUCACCCUGGAAAGGGUGAAACAAACCAACAGCAAUCUCUUGGGGGUGGGGGUGGCGGGGAGUGACAUUCUUAAUGACAUAAAUGGACUGAUGCAUAAAGAAAAAAAAUGCACAUUUCCCCCUUUCUAGUGUAUGUUUGAAGGCCAGAGGGAAGGCUGGAUCAUGAAUAGGAUUUAGAAGGACCUUAGAGAUCAUCUAGCCCAACACCUUUAUUUUUUGAGGAAAUUGUGGCGCAGAGAAGGCCAAGUGACGGGCCCAAGAUUGCACAGGUACCAGUACUCCAAAUCCAUGGCUCAGUGUGCCACAGCGCGGCAGAACAUUAUCUUAAUCCUUGCAUGGAACCGAAGAUGGCAACAUGUUAGGUAGAGUAUCUGAGAAAAUAGGGCAGACUGUCCUAGUAAAUGGAGGGUAACCAGGCAACUGGAGGAGGAAGGGUGCUAGCCGAGAUUUAAAAUCAUGGGACUUGGAAAUGAACUAGAGAUCAUUUAAUCCAACCCCCUCAUUUUACAAAUAAAGAAACUAAGGGGAGGGAGCAGGGCACAUAACUUGCCCAAGCUGUCACUCCGAAAUACUGGGCAGGGCUGGAAUUGAAACCCACAUACUCUUGGGUCAAAAUCCAGUGCUCUGUCCGCAAUGUGGGAAGAAUGUUCAGGAGAUCAGAAGCAUAUAAUAACAAAUAAAAAUAAUACCAAUACGUAGCUAGGACACAAACUUCAAUAACGUAUAGGAAACCAGCAACUGUGCCUGACAGCCUGGUUAGAGGCACAAGGGAAAUGGGCUUUCUCUCCACGUUAAGGAUUGCUCAUAAGCUCAUUUGGUGACUGGGACCUUCCCGGAUCACUCAUCUGUGAAGCAAUUGGCUGGCCUACAUACACAGGCAUGAGGGCUGCGGAGCAGUACCAGAAGCUCACUGUGAUGACAUGUUGGUGACCCAGAUUCACAAGAGACCUGGGGACUGCUGAUCCUCAGGCCAACAGAGACUGUGCCCUUUGUGAAGGUGAGGGGAUGGAUUUCUGGCUCAGAAUGCUAACCAGGCAGGCAAUGUGCCUGGUGAGUCUGUCUCCUUCAAAGGAGAGAAGAAAUGUAAAUGCUCAUAACCAUCAUAGAGCAAGAAAUGGCGAGUGAUGGGAGAGGCAGAGGGAGGAGGAAACAGCAGUCACAUCUGGACCUUAGCCGACUCAAGAUAGAUUUCAAAACAUGGCUACUUAGUAACACUCAAAUACAUACUCUAUCUACCCCAUCUGUCACAAUUCUAGGAUUUUAAAUGUCUUCUCACUGUUCUGCACAGUACUUACCUUCCCUGGAAGGUUUUUGUUUGCUUAUUUUUUUUUUCUCUUUUAUCCCCCAUCAGUAGCAGUCACAUAAGCACUUUAUUAGUACAAUUUUUUUAAAACAACAACUUUAAAACUCCAUUAAUAGGUGGAUGAGAAAAUGAUAGAGAUGCCUUGAUUAAUGCUUUGUGUCACUCAAUCUCCUCCCAUUAUAUUUUUCACAUAAGUCAUUCAGUCUUCAAGCACUGUGAUGUGGUGACUAGAGCACUGGACUUGGAGAAAGGAAGGCCUGAGUUCAAAUCCUGCCUCAGCAGCAUGAUUUAGCUCUAAAGUUCACGAUUCUAUGACUUGAGAUUUGAACCUUGCUCCCUAUGUGGCUCUGGUUUCCAGAAAGCAAGCAUACGAUCCUUGAGUUUUUGGAAAGACAUUGGAUGGAACAGUUGGAUUCUCAAAGCAGCUGAGGACACAAUAGGUUUGACUUCUGUGUCUUCAAAAUAUGCCCCUCACUGUCCUCAUAUUAUCUGUCUUAUUACUAUGGUUUCUGUAGUUUUCUGUUGAUUCUGCAUAUCUUGGGACAUUGCUAGUAGAAUGAAGUCUGGUGCAUGUGCAUACCUCAUCAGCUUGCUUGGAGGGUUCUUUUCAUGUGGAACAUAUUGAGGAGAUGGCUUCAAGGAGAAUUGUGAUAUCAUGUAAAAGAAGUGCCUUGAAGUUACUGUGGAGGGUGCAUGGACAUUUUAUAACUGGUUUGGAUUAGCUAACCAUUUCAAAGGGAGGAGCCUUUAUUAUUAUUAUUAACAAUGAGAAUACUAAUGUCAUUUACAAAGCUCUUUAAGUUUGAAAAGCCCUAUCCAUAUGUUAUCUCAUUUGAUUUUUGUAAUAGCUCUGUGAGGGAGGUGCUAUUAUUCUGGAGGAAAGUGAAACUGAGAGGUUAUUUGUCUUGCCCUAAGAUAAGAUAGAUUGGAAAUGUCUGAGGUGAGAUUUGAACUCAGGUCUUUCUAAUUCCAAGUCCAUGGCUCUUAUCCACCUAUCUAGUUGCUCUUCUGAAGAUACUAAGAGUUCUGGCUAUGCAGCCCAUAAUUGACUAAGUACAUGAUUAGUCAACCAGAACCAGUUUCCAAAUGUCCAUGCAUGCUUUACGGUGUCUCAAAAGCGUUUUCCUUCCACAUUAUCAGGAUUUUCCCAAAACUCAUCUCUCCCAGGGUCCUCCAUGUAGAAAGUAGCAAUUUCAACAAACUCAUGGUGUUGGCACAUAUGCCAGAUCCCCAUUACACUAAAGAUCUUGAACCUAAACUAAAGCUGGAAUAAACUAAAGGUUUAAAGACUAAAAGGUCUCUUACCAAGACCAGGAAAAAUAAUCAUCUUGAUUCUUUCCUUCCCUAUCUGCAAGUUCCAAGCUUGUGAUACUCUGGAGAUACAGAGAGAAGAAAACCCUCCCUGCUCUUCCUAGGCAUCCAGUGGGGCCAAUUCACCCACACCUGUGUGAACUUUUGGAGGAUUCAAGAACAUGGUGUCAUGCUGCCAAUGCGGUGGCAUUACUUUGGCAAGCGCUGAAUGACCACAAACAUGAGCCUUAUUUGAAGGCAACUGAUAUAUACAAUAACAACAUUAUUAAUGGCAAA